ACAUAAGGGGUAAACUCAUCAUAGAUACCUGGACUAAAUUUUGUAUAUAUACGCCAGACGCACGUUUCGUCUACAAAAGACACAUCAGUGACGCUCGAAUCCAAAACAGUUUAAAAGGCCAAAUAAAGGAAUUCUAGACAGUUCGGCACCCAGACAAAUCGGUACCCGGACAAAUCGGCACCUACCAUAGACAAAUCGGCAUCCAGACAAAUCGGCAACCUAGACAAAUCGGCACCUUAUAAAUUAAUUAUCUUUGAUCUAUAUAUAGUGAACCAAAAAUUAAAAUUUCCUGGCGUGUUCAGUGUUAAUAGACAGCAAUUAUGUUUGAGUGUUAUUUAUUUGUCUCCUGCACUAUUUAUAACAUUAUUGUCAAUAUUGUACAUUGUUUCUUUGAAUAUGUAUCUUAUAAAGUGGUUUAUUCCUUUUAGUUAUUUGUUCGGCACCCAGACACAUCUUUGAAUAUGUAUCUUAUUAAGUGGUAUAUUCCUUUUAGUUAUUUGUUUGUGCUCAAGACUGUACUGCAGCUUAGUCAUUUUGAUAGGUGUAUUAUUUGUGGAAAUUCUUUUUCCUAAAACAAUACUCUGGUGUUGACACUGUUAUGCCACCCCUCGACAUCAUUGUUGGUACGGAUGGAGGACAUGAAAACACACCAGUAGUCUAUGUCAAACACACUGUUGCGUAUCCAUGUCUUGUAGAUGUAGUCCAUUACCUUCUGGACACCUGGAUGGUCGGCUUUCUUGUCUAGCUGACGGAAGAUGUCUGGGAUAUGCUCUGGUGGGAGGAACGGUACCACUUUGGUCUAGGUAGUCUUUUGUAGAUGGUAAUUGUCAGAUAUGCUCUGGUAUGAAACUGGUAUCUACAGAGGAAUCAGAAUAGAGCAUUUGAUAUCAACUCAAAAGUAGCUCUUGACACUGAAAAAGAAGGAGAAAUGUAUAGCAUUGUCACUUAUGGAUGAGGCAUCUGAUUCCUGCAAAACUGCCAGUGCCGAAGAAAAAGCUAGUUCUCCUAGUGAUGAAUUGGAAUGCAGUUUUGAAGCUGAUUGGCAAAAAAGAGGCGCUGGUUGUCAAUGUAACAGUAACACAGAUAUAAACAUCUCCAAAAAGGUGAACCAUUGACAAAUGCAAACCUGCGUAAGCACUUAGAGACAGUGACGAAAAAUUUACAAAAAGAGAUCAAGCCAACUUGUAGAUUUAGGCUCAAAACAGAGCAAUGAAAAUUUCAACAAUAUAGUGGCAAAUCAUAUGGUGGAACCAGUUCAUUAAAAGCAAGAGUUUCAGCUGCAGUUCUUUAGAAGAAUGAAGGUUAUACCUGGGUUAACAAGGUUAACAAGAAAGCAUUACUGUCACCAGGCACAAUCUUUGUUAGAGUUGGACAAAGGAUUGACAGAAAGAGACUGGCAAAAGAAGAAUAGCUCCUUAGUUCAAUUCAAACAUGACAGAUUUAAAAGAAAGAUACCAUGUUCAAACCUUGUCUGUAGAUCUGUUAACCAUGUGCCAACUGGUAAAAGACACAACAGAACUUGGGAUUCUAACACAAAGCUUGCAUCAGCCAUGAUUCAUGCUGGUAUAGGAGAAAGGCAAGUCAAUAGCCUUCUUUCGUGCUGAAUAUUCCACAUGUCAGUACAUGGACUGUUUUGGCAAGGCAAAAUGAAGCAGGCAUUAAAGAAUACUUAUUUUGUAUCAUAUUGUUGAUCUAAAUACAUGAAACUCUGACAACGAACAGAGGCGGAAAAAAAUUGGUUGCUUAUAUAGGGAAUCACUGAAGCGUGACUGGAGCAGGCCCCCUCUUAGGUCAGUCAGUGGGCCCCCACUUAUGAAAAUUUCUGGAUCCGCCACUGACGAAUUUAAUAAACAAGCUGAAAUUUUAAAUGCAGUUAAAACACUUAAAAAUGGUAAAUCAUCAGCUUAAGACCUAAUUUCUAAUGAAAUGAUUAAAUGUGGUAUGCCAGUAUUAUUAGAACCCCUAUAAAAGGUAGCAAUACACAGUUAGGAAAAAAACUUAAAAUUGACACUCAUAAUUUUUAAACACCCCCUUUCCCCUCCUGUCUAACAAAGAAGGCUUUAUAUGUGUGUUAUGCAUGUAUAUACUUGUAGAAAGAGAAUCUUCCAUAGAUUUGAUUUCUAAUGGUCAUAAGGGUGAAAUAUAAUCCCUUUUGGGUGUAACCAUGGCAACAAUCUGCAUUUCUUAGAUACAAAAUAGAGCAAAAAAGGGGGGUGAACAUGUCACAAAAGUCUCCAAAAUUUGGUCUAAAGGAAAAUUUCAAUGAAUUACAGUGAUACCUUUCCUGAAUCCAUAGGUUUAUAUCUAUCAAGUGGUCCAAAAAAAAUCAUAUGUCUUCCUGCUCGUUUUUCCAUAAAAUUGAAUUGAAAAGAUCGAGCGCAAAAUCUUUGUUGAUAAACACUACAAUAAUUUAUGGACCUAUGAACGGUUCGGAUAGGAAAAUACGGACUGUCAAUCAUUGAAAUGGCCUAUAAAACAUGUUAAAAUCAAUCGAAAUGUUCAUAUAAACCCACUAAGAAGGCUAUAUUAUUCUUCAAUUACCUAAAAAUCAAUUUUAUUGUACAAAAACUUUCAUAUUUAAAAAAUUCACAGGGGCCAUAAUGCGAAACUAAACUUCUAACUGUGUAUUGCUACCUUAAGGAUUAACAUUUUUUUUCCCAAUUCCACUUUAAAUGGAUUUCUAUUUUCUACUAGUUAAAACGAGCAUUUUCGCCUGCUAGUUUUGAAAAUCGGUUCAGAAAUAAAUAUUUUAUGAAGGUUAGCAGUUGACACUGAAAUGCAACAAAAAAGUGAUUUUAUGAAACAUGCUAUGUCAAAGUGCAUUUUCUCCUUUUUUAGUCAAUUUUCUAAAACUAUACCUUCUAAGCCUGUCUUUCCUUGUUUAAAAACCUAAAUUAACCUUAACAGUAGACAACUUUUACAAGUUAAAGCUAUUUUAAAGCUCUAGAAUGUCAAUUUUGUUGUGUAUUACCAUACCGAGGCCUUGGUUAAAAUUAAGUCAAUACUGAAUUUAUUUAUAACAGCGGGGAAAAAAUUGGGCUUAAUUCAUGCUAAAUUGUGACUUUAUACUUGCUAAAAUAAUAAAUUUGAUUUAGUCGCAUGAAAAAAAAUAAAGCGUUCCCUUCUAAGGUUUCUACAUAAUGCACAAUCUUUUUUUCCAAGGGGUAGCCAAUAAAGUAUCAAUUAAUAACGGAACCAAGUCUAUGUGUCAAAAUGUCUAUAUUGGUUGCUAAGGACAAUAAACAACAAAACUAACAUACAUUGUCAUAC
Mytilus trossulus (common blue mussel) is the source of this 3270-nucleotide long non-coding RNA. RefSeq lists it as uncharacterized. Lineage: Eukaryota; Metazoa; Mollusca; Bivalvia; Mytilida; Mytilidae. The record is from RefSeq and is a predicted model, not a curated record. The transcript is spliced from 8 exons.